UGAUGCCAGGAAUCUGACAGUGGUUUUCACAUCAUCAGAUGAAGGAGGCUAGAUUACUACCACUUCCAAAGAAGCCAAAUUCGGGGAUGAGAUCUUAUUUUGGAAAUGAAGAUGGCUUUUAGAGAUGAUGUGCAGUUUUUGAGAACACCAGUUUAUUGAGGGCAGAUAUUGUAUCAAACCAACUGCAUGAUCUUGGUACCUAUCUCACUGGCUAACAA
RNAcentral lists this long non-coding RNA (218 nucleotides) under Cavia porcellus (domestic guinea pig). Its description in RNAcentral is "lncRNA (ENSCPOG00000033609.1)". Lineage: Eukaryota; Metazoa; Chordata; Mammalia; Rodentia; Caviidae. The record is from RNAcentral.